Non-coding RNA from Neptunomonas antarctica, 74 nucleotides. The record is from Rfam. Lineage: Bacteria; Pseudomonadati; Pseudomonadota; Gammaproteobacteria; Oceanospirillales; Oceanospirillaceae.
GGGCCUUUAGCUCAGUUGGUUAGAGCGCUCGACUCAUAAUCGAACGGUCACUGGUUCAAGUCCAGUAAGGCCCA